GGGAAAACAGGAAAGAAUUUAUAAAAGAAUUGUGGUGUAUUAGAAAGAGAAGAAACUUAAACAAACACAACCAAAGGGGGAAUAAAACAAGCAAGGGAGGAGCCGUUUCAAUGGCACUUCACGCCAAAGAAUUGUUGUAUUACGGAAGGAAGAAACUCAAACAAACAUAAACUUACAGAGAGAAGAAACUCAAACAAACACAAACUUACAGAGAGAAGAAACUCAAACAAAGACAACCAAAGGGGGAAUAAAACAAGCAUGGGAGGAGCAGUUUCAAAGGCAUUUCCCGCCUAUUACUACUGCUAUCACCAGGAUCGUCCUCUCCCCUACCCCCAUAAUAAUUUGACAAAUACCAAUACCCUCAGAUUUCGAAAAUGUCUUACGACCGGAGACGGGCCGAGCUGCCUGACAUAACGGGAAUGACCAGCCUGAAGGUGGACAACAUCCCACCUGGGACAGUCCAUGAGGACUUGAGACGUCUGUUCGAGAAGUUCGGGGAGAUAGGAGACGUUCACAUCCCCAAGAACUAUGACAGAUACGGAGAGAUCCGCGGCUUUGCUUAUAUUAGGUUUUAUGAUUCCCGAGAUGCCAAAGAUGCUAUGGAGGGCAUGGAUGGUCGUAGAUACGAAAAUAGAGAGCUUCGAGUUCAGAUAGAGAGGAACGAACGUCCAGAAAAACCAAGAUGGUCAGAAUCGCGAGAGUCAAGGGAAAGGCAUCAACAUUCAAGACGGUCAGGAUCAUCAGAGCCGAUGGAAAUUUCAUCGGAUAAUAGCAUGACUUCUACUUAAGAGAUGCCUUUGAUAUUCAGAUUUAAUUUUGCUACAAAUUGUAAGUUUUAUGAAAAUAAACUUAUUUAUUUUUUUAAUUAAACUAUUAUUUUAUUGAUGAUGCCUCAACUAAGGGAUCACUAAAAUGAACUUUUAUAAUUCUUGACAUUAAAAUGAUUACUUUUCAAAAGUCUUUUCCAUAUAGUAGUAUGUAAGACAGUCAUAAAUACUAAUUACAAUUAUACAGAAUAACCUGCAGACAGUAUACAAUAUACAUGGCAGUGGCCUUCACAUGAAAAAUAGUUACAGUAAUUAAAAAAAAAAAAAAUACAUUCUUAAUCUGGUUGUCCAUGGUGGUAUAGCCAAUACUUUGGGUUGUCUAAUUGGGCCUUCUCUGAUCAUGCUUUAGUCUUAUAAACUAUUAAAAUUAAGCAAAAUGUCCUUGAUGUGCCCUACUAUUGUAAGAAAUUUUAAAUUUCAAGAAGGCUAGAAUGAAAUUGGAGUAUAUGUACAUGGCAGAAUCAUGUACAUAUACCCAUGUAACACAUACGGUUUAUUGAAUUUUCUGUUUCAUCUGAAAAUUAAUGUAAUUUGACUACUGUAAUAUACUGGUAUGACUCAGAAACAUAGUUGUGAGGCUACUCUUAAAUCUGCACUUAAUUUGGUGUUGACUCAAUAGUUCCUCAUUUGAUUAAACCAGAUGGCUCUAUCAAUUGUGUAAAGUUGAGGGCAACCCUUCUAGCUGACUUGUUCGACAGAAAGUAGAUUAAAGAGACAUGCAAUAUGAGUCAUUCCUGUUUUCCUGACGCUAAAGCUGUGUAGGCUUUAGUCUUUUACUCAACUUUGAUGAUUAUGGAGGUGUAGCCCCAAAUGGUAUUUUCCCAAUUUUUGUGUAAACAGCCAAUUACUUAGCUCCAAAGUUGUCCUGUAGUUUUCAUGAGCUAACUCUUUUUGCAGUUAUUGGAUAAUUUGUAAUGUUAUUCCAUUAAGUAAAUGUGGUGGACUACCUUUAACUCUGCUGAUUACUGCCAAUUUCUGUAACUUCCAUGUUAUGUAACAUUAUUGGAUGUUUAAUGGCAAAGCAUCCUAAUGUCUGUGUUGAAAGUAAAUCUUUGCUCUCUAGUGUGCAGCUUGGGUUUCACAAGGCCAGGUUGCUUUUGAUGUCUUCUGUGAUUUCCUGUAUUGUAUGGAUGACAAAUAAAAGGCAAAAAUAA
This is a long non-coding RNA of Macrobrachium nipponense, 1981 nucleotides long. RefSeq lists it as uncharacterized. The record is from RefSeq and is a predicted model, not a curated record. The transcript is spliced from 2 exons. NCBI's taxonomy places the organism in Eukaryota, Metazoa, Arthropoda, Malacostraca, Decapoda, Palaemonidae.